RNAcentral lists this ribosomal RNA (303 nucleotides) under uncultured bacterium. Its description in RNAcentral is "partial 16S ribosomal RNA". It matches the Rfam family "Bacterial small subunit ribosomal RNA", at positions 510 to 808 of the family's 1533-position model. The record is from RNAcentral.
AGCAGUCGCCCGGGAAUACGUAGGUGGCAAGCGUUGUCCGGAAUUAUUGGGCGUAAAGGGCUCGCAGGCGGUUUCUUAAGUCUGAUGUGAAAGCCCCCGGCUCAACCGGGGAGGGUCAUUGGAAACUGGGAAACUUGAGUGCAGAAGAGGAGAGUGGAAUUCCACGUGUAGCGGUGAAAUGCGUAGAGAUGUGGAGGAACACCAGUGGCGAAGGCGACUCUCUGGUCUGUAACUGACGCUGAGGAGCGAAAGCGUGGGGAGCGAACAGGAUUAGAUACCCGCGUAGUCCCUGUCUCUUAUACA